This is a long non-coding RNA of Electrophorus electricus (electric eel), 170 nucleotides long. RefSeq lists it as uncharacterized. Lineage: Eukaryota; Metazoa; Chordata; Actinopteri; Gymnotiformes; Gymnotidae. The record is from RefSeq and is a predicted model, not a curated record.
GGCUUAUGCAUGUGGAGGCAAAGCCGUUUCACCACCUGUUAACAUGUGUUAACCAGCCCAGGACCUGCUGUUUGGGCUACAGCCGCCUUCCUGUGCAUCUCAUGGUCCAACACACCCGAUUCGCUGCAGGGCCCACCCGGGAUGGAGGCAUGGCUUAACACAGGCUUUGA